RNAcentral lists this ribosomal RNA (466 nucleotides) under uncultured bacterium. RNAcentral's name for it is "partial 16S ribosomal RNA". It matches the Rfam family "Bacterial small subunit ribosomal RNA", at positions 28 to 507 of the family's 1533-position model. The record is from RNAcentral.
GAUGAACGCUGGUGGCGUGCUUAACACAUGCAAGUCGAACGGAAAGGCCCUUGCUUGCAGGGGUACUCGAGUGGCGAACGGGUGAGUAACACGUGGGUGAUCUGCCCUGCACUUCGGGAUAAGCCUGGGAAACUGGGUCUAAUACCGGAUAGGACCAUCGUUUAGUGUCGGUGGUGGAAAGUUUUUUCGGUGUGGGAUGAGCUCGCGGCCUAUCAGCUUGUUGGUGGGGUAAUGGCCUACCAAGGCGUCGACGGGUAGCCGGCCUGAGAGGGUGUACGGCCACAUUGGGACUGAGAUACGGCCCAGACUCCUACGGGAGGCAGCAGUGGGGAAUAUUGCACAAUGGGCGCAAGCCUGAUGCAGCGACGCCGCGUGGGGGAUGACGGCCUUCGGGUUGUAAACUCCUUUCGUCAGGGACGAAGCGAAAGUGACGGUACCUGGAUAAGAAGCACCGGCUAACUACGUG